RNAcentral lists this long non-coding RNA (614 nucleotides) under Rattus norvegicus (Norway rat). Its description in RNAcentral is "long non-coding RNA NONRATT002054". The record is from RNAcentral. Lineage: Eukaryota; Metazoa; Chordata; Mammalia; Rodentia; Muridae.
UUUUCCUUGGUCCACAGGUAGGUGUCACAAUUGCUUUGGAAAAAAAAAGUCAGGAGGCCAUUCUCCCUUCCCAAGCUCAUAAAUACACAGAUACAAACCCCAGAUGUGGAAAUGCGGACCACAUUUUGUGCCACUGUAUAGAGGAUGCAGACUGCACUGCCAACCCACAGACUCUAAGGACUGGACACACGUUGUUUGGGCAUAUGAGAACUCGUUGGCAUAGUAUAGCUUCCCUAUGUUUGUGUGACUUUUGGAAACAAUCUGUUUUUUCUCAGGAUAUCUUCACUUCAUUGCCACGGUAUAUAUUCUAUAGGUGUGAUAGAACUUGCUGUAAAAUUUAUUUGUAAAAAAAAAUGUACACGGUAGAACUAAUGUGAUUGAAGAACUUGGGUCCUUCAGAAGUGGAAACAAAUUUGAUAUUUAUUUUUAUAAUGACAUAAAGCUUCUAGUAAUUUAUGCAAGUUGUAUUGCAAUGAAAUCUAAAACUUUUGUAAAUAAAUUCUGCUGGUUUUUAUUUGAACAUUGCUGGUUAUACAAUCUCUGUUGGUUGUUUAACAUGAAUUCUCUACUAAUUUAUAUCUAAAACUGUAAAUAAAAACAGAUGAGCCUACAAG